UUAAAAUCUACAUUUAUGUUUUAAACAAUUGGCCAAAACCACAAAGGAGCGAAACACGUGACUGUCUUUGAGUGAGACAUUGAAUCAUUCACUGAGUUGAAUCAGUGUUUUUGAACCGAACAAUUACUGCGUGUUGCUCGGAGGCGUGCAAAGUUUAAGAUACUGUGGCGUUUCUUUUAAGUUAUUUUCUUGGCAAAAAGAGCAAAAAGAGACAAACAGUUGCGAAUGUUGUCUCUAAAAUGUAAGUUACCCAGUAUCUCGUGUAAUAUUGCUUGAUUGUCCCGUCGAAAGGACCUUUCCAAAAGACCAUCUCUUCAGGGAAAUAAUUUUGUUGUUUACAGUCAUAUUAUUGUGGAUGGCGGGGUUCAAUACUGAUACUCGAACUGAUCUUUAAUUAUCCCCCUGGACUUAUUCGGUUUAUUAAUAAUAACAUAAGUGGAGGAGGGCCGCCACAACGAAUGAGUGGGACCCAGAGGAGUAUUUAGGCAGCUGCUGAGGCCUCCGUCCCAGCCCUGGUAUCAUCCCCCCAUCAGGCACUCCUUGAAGUGGUUUUAUAAGACAUGACGAGGGAGCCCGGGCCGAAAGUGAUCAGCGGGCGACGCACAUCUGAAACCCAUUUUCCGCAAUUAAAGGGGAGAGACUAUCAGCUCCAAACAUCGCCUGUUUCCACGGCCUGCCAUAAAGCAUGGCUUGUGGCUUGUUUGGGUCAGUCACUGAAAAAAAAAUGGAUGAGGAGAGAGGACAGGAGGAGAAGGAAGACGAAAAAAAGCUAAACGAUUGUGGAGCAUAAGAUUAAAGGACAUGCGGACUGAGCAAUGCAAAAAACCUGGAGCGAAGCUGGAGUGGACUGAUUACAAAGUUGGGGAAGGAGUUUCUGACAACAGAACUUCAUUGAGAAAUGAGCAGGUAUCUUAGAAUUCGAGAAGAAAUGCGGAUUACGUAGAUGCUCAAGCAGAAGUGGAUAAUUGUACAGAACGGGAUACCUGGAACAAAGCACGACUCUAGUCUUCGGGGUGCAUUGAAGUGAGAUAUUACAAUAUAAUCUUGAUGUAAAUGUCAGGACUUAAGAUGAUUAAGACUGCUGGUGUGUGUGAGUUCUCUUCUGAUCAUGCCAUGGAGGCUCAAUCGGUACUGACUGUGGCUUAUCUUAGAGCUCAUCCACCAAACCUGAACUCUUCUAAUCACCUUCAACUGGAUCAGGUUCCUGUAUUUGCUAUAUAGUCUGUGACCACUGAGACACUGCCAGCUCUGACUCUUCUUUGUGUAUGAUUACAGUUGUUGUUAUUAUUAUUGCUGCUGCUGUAUUUUAUGUAUUACCUAAAGUCUACAUAUACCAUUAGUGUUAUAAGUGGUUUUCUGCACCGAAAACAUAAGGCAGCUGCUAUUUGCACUAAGUUCAAAUAGCAAUAGAUGCUAUUUACACUAAGUGCAAAUAGCAGUAUUUUCUUUGCACUAAGUUUAAAUAGUAGUUAGAUGCGUUUUAAACAGUGCAAAUAGUGGCAGGUACUAUUUGCACCUCAGUAUAUUUUAGCAUAUUAUAAAACAGAAUGCGAUAAUAAAACAUAUUCAGUGUAUAUGUUUAUAUUUAAUAAAAUCAUAAAUGGAUGCUGGACAUUACUUGUUCUUGACAUUACCUCCCCUGCACCUGCACUUACUCCUAACCCUACCCGUUAAAGACCUUAUUCCCACUAUUAAAUACCCGUUAGGCACUUUAUUUUCUUUUUUUUUUUUUUUUUUGAAUAUUUUCUUAAUUUUUAUUAAAAAUAACCACUAAUUCGAGCUGAUAUGCAAUAGGAAAAGAGAUACGAAUGAGUUUGGUAAAAGGCGGACUCGAACUCGGGACAUUAAAAGCUGACGCCACCUUUCUCUCAACAUCACUGCUCGUGUUAUCAGCAGGAGUUAUUUUGUAAUUUUGUCUGGCUCAGUCAGAUAAUGGUGGGUGGAGUUAGUGUAAAUAGCCUCUGCCAACAAGGCGGGCUAUUUGUACUUGGUGUGAAUAGACACUCUGAAAAUAUAAUUAUAUGUUUAUAUCAUAUUUUAGUUUUACAUAACAUUGUGCACCCUCUAUCAAAGUUAUACAGGUUGUUUUUUUCCUACUGUACCUAUAAGACAUCUUAGGCAUAAAAACUGAGGAGAAAAAAACAGUUUAUCUGUCAUUUUGUAUU
This is a long non-coding RNA of Ctenopharyngodon idella (grass carp), 2165 nucleotides long. RefSeq lists it as uncharacterized. Lineage: Eukaryota; Metazoa; Chordata; Actinopteri; Cypriniformes; Xenocyprididae. The transcript is spliced from 4 exons. The record is from RefSeq and is a predicted model, not a curated record.